RNAcentral lists this long non-coding RNA (692 nucleotides) under Mytilus galloprovincialis (Mediterranean mussel). The record is from RNAcentral. Lineage: Eukaryota; Metazoa; Mollusca; Bivalvia; Mytilida; Mytilidae.
UGGCCACAGAGCGAGAGAAAUGGAAAAGAAAUCCCUUUUAAGAGCAGUUCAUCUGACAAGUCAUGUCUAAACAAUGUCUGAAUUAAAAUCAGUUUUGAAUAUAAACGAUGCUCCUAUAAGACAAGAAUGUCGAGACGUCUGAAAUAGAUGUAACUAAACUAACUGCACGUGCGAAUAGCUACAAAGGAAGACAUUCUUGUUGGUCAUAUCUCGAAAAUGAAAGCGAAAAAAAUAAUUUGUCUGACCAAAACCGAUGUUCGUAACCUUUAUGGCUAAAGAAAUGGUUGCUAGAUUUAGAAGAAGUUAUCCUUUAAUAAAGAAAGUUAACAGCUAGGUAUGACUGGUGCAAGAAAAGGACUGAGUUAUCUUCAUCCAUAUCUAUAUCUAUUUGGAAACCUUCAAAGGAAGUGCAGCUGGCAGUAUGGUACUAAAUCCGAAUGUUAUAUCAGCAAAUUUUAAAAGGCUUGGUGAUCUGAGUGAAUAAAAUAGGCAUUCAGAAUACACUUAAACGCAUCUUUAAUACUGAUGAGACCGAUAUGAAUAUAAUCUAUGAGGUGUGGAUUUAGUAAAAUUUAAGGAGCUCCUGAAUUAUUGCAUAAUCACUAUAGAAACGGCAAACUUAAGUAAUCACACAAUCAUUUAAAACCCCACGAAGAGACUAAGGCUCAGAUUCAAAAUUAUUUCCUAACACG